UGUCGCGGCACAUUUUUCCCUUUUUUGCUCCCCUCCCCUCCCUCCCUUCGAACUUUGGCUCUCGUGCGUGUGCGCGCUUUCCUUCGUUUUGUUGUUCUCUCUCCUCUCUUGUGGUUCACCGUCUUCGUUGGCUUUCUUGGCUCUCUGCUGCGCACGUACGUGUGCGGGUGUGCUGGUGUUGUCCCCGUGUCCUCUUGUGUGCACGCAGAUAUACAUACGCACAUGCUUAUACGCACGCCUAUACACACACACACAGCCCGACCUUCUCCCCCCUCCCCUCGUCCGCUGUUCCGCGUCACAGCCCUCCGUCGUUCGAUCUCUCACCUCCUCCGUCUCUUGCCCAGGGCGCCACUCCGCCUUUUCCACUCUUCUUCUCACCUUCCCUCUAUACACAGGCGUGAUGUCCGCGGAAGACACCCCCAUCUCGCUCUUCCUGCAGGCGUGCAACCAGGAGGGCGUCAAGACACCCAAUCCGAAGCUGGUGGGGUUCUUUCAGAGCCACGAAACCUUCGACAGCAUCCUUGAGAUCGACCUCAGCAACAACUACAUCGGCAACCGCGGCCUGCUGGCAGUGCUGGACGUCAUUGGGCAUCUGAGCUGCUUCCGCUGCCUCAACGCCAUGGACCAGAAGCUGUACAACUCAGACUUCAGCGAGGAAGCUGUCAAGGGCAAUGCCGUGAUUGACCGCAUCGUGGAAGUGUUCAAGGUGCACCCCACCGCCAACUCGCUCAACCUCAGCAACAACCCCAUCUCGAACUACGCGGGGCGUAAGCUGCUCUCCCUGGCGCAGGUGAACCGCCGCAUGUGCCUCAUCGAGGUGAGCGACACCCGCAUAGACUUUGAUCUUCGCAACAAGAUUGCGAAGCAGUGCGAGGAGAACACCCGCAACAUGUGGGACGCCGAGCAGGAUGAGAACGCAAAUUCGGGCGCCGCCUUCGGCGAGAACCUGGAGUGGGUGCCGACCCAGGCCACGGCGGACCUGACGUCGCUCGGCGCCGGCCGGGCUCGUCGCCAGACAGUACGGGUCGAGGGCAUUGACCCUGAGGCGGCCAAGAACUACGUGCCCCCGGUGCAUGAAAAGUCGCAGGAAGACACGGAUAUGAUUUGCGAGCUGCUGAGCCACAACGUGCUCUUCGGCUUCCUCGGCAGCAAGGACAUCCUAACUGUGGCGGGAGCGAUGUACCGCGAGGAGUUCGUGAAGGACGAGUGCAUCAUCGAGUUCGGCCAGACCCACUGCGACAAGCUCUACGUUAUUCAGAGCGGUGAGGCAGAUAUUAUAAAAGAGGGCCAAAAAGUGUUCGUCAAGACGGAGGGCACGGCGGUGGGCGAGCUGGAGCUGCUGUACGACACGCCUGCCGUUGCAACCGUGAAGGUGUCCACGGAGGCGCUGGUGGCGUGGGUGCUGGACCGCGAAACGUACCGCAACCUCGUCAUGGGCUCCUGCAUCCGCCGCCGUGAAACGUACAUGUCGAUGCUGGCCAAGGUUCCAUUCCUGCAGAGCCUCGACGCCUACGAGCGCAUGCAGAUCGCAGACGCCCUCACGAGCGACGAGUUCGCUGCCGGCGACUACAUCAUCCACUACGACGAGGAGGGCGAGUGGCUUUACAUCAUUAUCGAAGGCACCGUGGAGGUAAUCGGUCGCGAUGCGGCCGGCAACAAGACGAAAGUUUGCGAGUUCCACAGCGGUGACCACAUCGGCGAGCUGGAGUUCCUCAACGAGCACCGCACUGUUGCGGACAUCGUGGCCGUCACGGACGUCACGACGGCGAAGCUGAACCGCCGGCAUUUCGAGAUGUGCAUGGGCCCCGUCAUGGACGUGUUGAAGCGGAAUAGCACCUCUGCCAAGUACGACUACUACCAGCAAGUGCUCCAGCAGCAACAGCAGGGUGCCCCGGCGGCGGUCCAGUAAGAAGACACGUGCAACGGGGUGGGAGGGAGGGAGGGGGCCGCGCAAGGGGCAACCGCGCUUCGAUCACGACGAAGGGCGAAGGGGCGCGCGGUCGGCGCUGCUCCUUGCACGCCAACGAUACCCUUCCCCCUUCCUCUCCGCCUACUCGCUCUCUCCUGUAACAUGGACCAACCGGCGCACGACUCUUUUCUUGUUUAACGUUGCACGCUCGUGUAUAUUAGUGCUCUCUCUAUCUCCCCCCUAUUCGAUGUACAGCAUCAUGUGUAGAAGACACACGCCGACACACGCACGCAUCCAUGCAUGCAGGCAAAGAGGCCGAGCGAGUGUAUAACGGUGCAUGGACGG
RNAcentral lists this unclassified non-coding RNA (2254 nucleotides) under Leishmania donovani. RNAcentral's name for it is "gene:LdHU3.13.0210(CDS-product:protein_kinase_A_r egulatory_subunit)". The record is from RNAcentral. Lineage: Eukaryota; Euglenozoa; Kinetoplastea; Trypanosomatida; Trypanosomatidae.